RNAcentral lists this ribosomal RNA (497 nucleotides) under uncultured bacterium. RNAcentral's name for it is "partial 16S ribosomal RNA". It matches the Rfam family "Bacterial small subunit ribosomal RNA", at positions 28 to 507 of the family's 1533-position model. The record is from RNAcentral.
GAUGAACGCUGGCGGCGUGCCUAAUACAUGCAAGUCGAGCGAACAGACGAGGAGCUUGCUCCUCUGACGUUAGCGGCGGACGGGUGAGUAACACGUGGAGAACCUACCUAUAAGACUGGGAUAACUUCGGGAAACCGGAGCUAAUACCGGAUAAUAUAUUGAACCGCAUGGUUCAAUAGUGAAAGACGGUUUUGCUGUCACUUAUAGAUGGAUCCGCGCCGCAUUAGCUAGUUGGUAAGGUAACGGCUUACCAAGGCAACGAUGCGUAGCGGACCUGAGAGGGUGAUCGGCCACACUGGAACUGAGACACGGUCCAGACUCCUACGGGAGGCAGCAGUAGGGAAUCUUACGCAAUGGGCGAAAGCCUGACGGAGCAACGCCGCGUGAGUGAUGAAGGUCUUCGGAUCGUAAAACUCUGUUAUUAGGGAAGAACAAAUGUGUAAGUAACUAUGCACGUCUUGACGGUACCUAAUCAGAAAGCAACGGCUAACUACGUG